This 1590-nucleotide long non-coding RNA is filed under the name Zostera marina. RNAcentral describes it as "long non-coding RNA (ZMAR_LNC003734)". The record is from RNAcentral. Lineage: Eukaryota; Viridiplantae; Streptophyta; Magnoliopsida; Alismatales; Zosteraceae.
CAAAUCCUUCUCGCCGGAUUUUUCUCAACUCUCCUUCUCGCCAGAUUUUUCGCCGGAGGUAAUGUUCUUCAAUCGUUCAUUUCUUAAUCGUUCAUUUCAAUCGUUCAUUUCAAUCUACCAAGUAUUAUUGAUUAUUGAUUUCAAUCGUUCAUUUCUUCAUUUCCCCAAAAUCGUUCAUUUCUUCAUUUCUUCAAUCCACCAAGUAUUACACACCAAGUUUCAACUUCUUGUUUCCUUCCGAAAAAUCCACCAUGUAAUUAACUUUGUACCGUCCUCCGGAAGUUGCCCAGCUGGAUCCGUCCCAUAUGGUAGCAUAUAACGACAUGGGUUUCGAAGGGAAAUGGCCGGCGAUAGUUUCGUUCCUUGUGACUUUCCUGAUCGGAAUGUCGUCGAUAAAGAAUCUGCGUUCAAAAGAAAGAUGUCAUCAUAAUUGACAAACGGGUAACAAAAUCCAAGUCUAUGAACCCUGCUAAUUUCCUGUUCCGCAUUCCGAUCCCCAAAGAAGUAGUUGUAGUAGUAUAAGAAGAAAUAAAAUCUUAAAAUCUAAGAGCUUGUGUUUGUGUUUAGUUAAUACUUACAUGAUGAGAUUCUGUCCAAAGAAAACCGUAAUGGUGGAAAUCCUCUGUCGGAUCGAACCAAAGUUGAUAUCUUUCUUCUUUGCCAAUUGAUGUACUUCCAUUUCCAUACAUAUUGGUCUGCAAUCGCCACUCUUUCCCUCUGACGUUUCCCAGAAACUCGAAAUCCAAUUCGUCAUGGGUCUUCUCGAAAACAUCCCCAUUUGACAACUGCAUCAACAUACGAAAUUAUCUGAUUUCUUCAAUCCACCAAGUAUUACACACCAAGUUUCUUCAAUCCUUCAUUUCUUCCGAAUAUUGUUUGUGGGACAAUAUCAUUCCCACAAACAUUAACAAGAUAGAAAUUCAACUCUUUUCCGAUCCGAAUAAUCUGAUUGCAGUUCUCAACUUUUCUGAAUGGCAUUUUUAUUGGAGGCUUUGAAGCGUGCUUCCAAAUCACUGAUCCUGGAUAUACUUUAUGAAGUACUUCGAGAAGUACCCAUCUGCUCACAUUAAAUAUGAUAUUAGAUUGCAGCCUCUUGUCAUUUCCAACGAACUAAAAACGACGAUUAUUUGGUGUACAAAGGUGGAUCGGGUUCUUUUGAAGCCAACUCUCAUGCAUUAGUAAGUUUAUAUUUUAAAUUCAUUUCAAUUUAAAUAUUUUAUGAAUUAUUUUAACUAGAUUUUUUCGUAUAGAGUCUCAAAUUAGGUCGAAAACCGUCAUUUCAAGAGGCAUUCUUGUCAACUCAUACGCCGUUAAAUGAUAGAGGAAAAACUAUGAUGGUGAGUGAUCAUUUAUUAAUUAUUCAUAAUAUAUUUAUUUUUUCUUAAUUAUUUCAUAUUUGAUUUUCGUAAAGGCCGAAUAUGAAAAUUUGAAUGAAGAACUUCGAAGACAAGAAGACAGUGAUUCUGAUGACGAUAGCGAAGAUGAAAAUUUAUCGUCUCAAGGUUCAACUACAUUUCAUACGAAGCCUCUGUUUAAAAACGAUCAUAUUGGACCUUGGCUGAAAGCAUCAAAGGGAAAGAAAUAUGGGCG